CGAACGGGUGAGUAACACGUGGGCAAUCUGCCCUGCACUCUGGGACAAGCCCUGGAAACGGGGUCUAAUACCGGAUAUUACUCGUCAAGGCAUCUUGACGGGUGGAAAGCUCCGGCGGUGCAGGAUGAGCCCGCGGCCUAUCAGCUUGUUGGUGGGGUGAUGGCCUACCAAGGCGACGACGGGUAGCCGGCCUGAGAGGGCGACCGGCCACACUGGGACUGAGACACGGCCCAGACUCCUACGGGAGGCAGCAGUGGGGAAUAUUGCACAAUGGGCGAAAGCCUGAUGCAGCGACGCCGCGUGAGGGAUGACGGCCUUCGGGUUGUAAACCUCUUUCAGCAGGGAAGAAGCGCAAGUGACGGUACCUGCAGAAGAAGCACCGGCUAACUACGUGCCAGCAGCCGCGGUAAUACGUAGGGUGCGAGCGUUGUCCGGAAUUAUUGGGCGUAAAGAGCUCGUAGGCGGCUUGUCGCGUCGGAUGUGAAAGCCCGGGGCUUAACCCCGGGUCUGCAUUCGAUACGGGCAGGCUAGAGUUCGGUAGGGGAGAUCGGAAUUCCUGGUGUAGCGGUGAAAUGCGCAGAUAUCAGGAGGAACACCGGUGGCGAAGGCGGAUCUCUGGGCCGAUACUGACGCUGAGGAGC
RNAcentral lists this ribosomal RNA (641 nucleotides) under Streptomyces sp. I13A-01685. Its description in RNAcentral is "bacterial SSU rRNA". It matches the Rfam family "Bacterial small subunit ribosomal RNA", at positions 99 to 754 of the family's 1533-position model. The record is from RNAcentral. Lineage: Bacteria; Bacillati; Actinomycetota; Actinomycetes; Kitasatosporales; Streptomycetaceae.